CCAAUAGCGUAUAUUAAAGUUGUUGCAGUUAAAAAGCUCGUAGUUGAAUUUCGGGAUCAGUACGCUGGUCGUGCCUUCGGUAUGUACUGGUGUUACUGGUUCCUACCUUCUGACGAACCGUCAUGUCAUUAAUUUGGUGUGGCGGGGAAUCAGGACUGUUACUUGGAAAAAAUUAGAGUGUUUAAAGCAGGCUCGCGCUUGCAGACAUUAGCAUGGAAUAAUGAAAUAGGACGUUCGAUCCUAUUUUGUUGGUUUCUAGGAUUGACGUAAUGAUUAAUAGGGAUAGUUGGGGGCAUUAGUAUUCAAUUGUCAGAGGUGAAAUUCUUGGAUUUAUUGAAGACUAACUACUGCGAAAGCAUUUGCCAAGGAUGUUUUCAUUAAUCAAGAACGAAAGUUAGGGGAUCGAAGACGAUCAGAUACCGUCGUAGUCUUAACCAUAAACUAUGCCGACUAGGGAUCGGAUGAUGUUAAUUUUUUAAUGACUCAUUCGGCGCCUUAC
This 499-nucleotide ribosomal RNA is filed under the name uncultured Glomeromycotina. RNAcentral describes it as "partial small subunit ribosomal RNA". It matches the Rfam family "Eukaryotic small subunit ribosomal RNA", at positions 591 to 1091 of the family's 1831-position model. Lineage: Eukaryota; Fungi; Glomeromycota. The record is from RNAcentral.